AAAGAACAGUUCAGCAAUUAUGCCUAUAUUAUUUGCAAUACUUCCCCUCCCAGAGGUCCCUGUAAUGGCUUCCAGCUGGUCCCUAACAGUUUCUAGAGAAGCAAGGUCUUGCUAGGAGACCCCACCUCCUGACCCGGAGACCUGGGGAGAACCAGGUCCCUUAAACAUCUGACUUCCCAAGGACUGGGAUGCUCUCAGCCCAAGACGGGUCUGUCGUUGCAGCUUAUGAACAACGUGACUGGCUUAGUGGACGGCCAGGGCACCUGCCGCUGUGUGGUCUGUCUCCCCCACAGCCCCUUCCCCCUGCAAAAGCUGGAACAACUUCAGAGUGCCACCCAAGAGCUGCUGGAGACGUAUGAGAGGGUACUCUCCAAGGUGAAGAAUGUGAGCUCCCUGGUCCAACAUCUGGCCAGCUCCCACCAGAUCAACAUCCGCAUGGCCACUCAGGUGCUGGAAACUCUGGAGAAUCAUCUGCAAGAGUGCGAACAGGAGCAGGGGCGGGAAGGCUUGGAGCAUCGCAUUCCUCCAGGUGAGCUCCUUCCUAUUACUUCAUCUCCUCCUUCCCAUCCCCUGCCUUGCCCUGCCCUCCAUUCUCCCCACUCUCCACUUUCUUGUCUGGUCAGAAGAGGGCUUGGGAGGGGCCAGGGUGACCUUUUUGCAGAGAACAAGAUUCUCCCAUUUCUGAGAAGCAGUGUGUCCUAGUGGAAAGAGUAGGGGCCUGGGAGUCAGAAGGACAUGGGUUCUAAUGCUGGCUCAGCCAUUUGCCUGCUGUGGGAUCUUGGGCAAGUCACUUCAGUUAUCUGUGUUUCAUUUCCUUCAUAUGUAAAAUGGGGAUUCAAAACCCGUCCUCCGUUCUACUUAGACUGUGAGCCCCAUUAGAACAGGGACUGUCUUCAACCUGAUUAACUUGUAUCUACCCCAGUGCUUAGAACAGUGCUUGACACAUAUGCCAUCAUCAUCAUCAUCUGAGCACACUCUGCAUUCAGUGAAUGAGAAUUGUCCCCUAAUUGAGCUCUCUGCCUCCUGGCAAGGGUUCUUCAUCUCAACCAUGCAGGACAAGCAUAGUGAAAGCCAGGGGGUGGGUUGUCCUGACCUGUUUUGCAAGAUCGCGAAUAAGAUUCUUCAGUAUCUCCCAUAAGGGAACCAGUAAUAACAAUAAUGUGGUAUUCUUUAUGUACUUAUUAUGUGCCAAGCACUGUACUACACUCUGGGGUAAAUAUAACAUAAUCAGAUCAGGCAGGGUCCCUGUCCUGCAUGGAACUCACUGUCUAGGGGAAAGGAGAACAGGUAUUUUUCCUCCAUUUUGCAAAUAAGGAAAGUGAGGCAUAGAGAAGUUGUGAUUUUGCCCAAGGUCACCCAGCAGGCAAGUGGCAGAGCUGAGACUAGACACCCCCUUCUUCUGACUCCCAGUCCUAUGCUCUACCCAUUUCUAAACCAAUGUCCUCAAGCAGCGAGGCUCAGUGGAAACAGCACAGGCUUGGGAGUCAGAGGUCAUGGGUUCGAAUACCGGAUCUGCCACUUGGCAGCUGUGUGACUGUGGGCAAGUAGCGUGGCGCAGUGGAAAGAGCACGGGCUUUGGAGUCAGGGCUCAUGAGUUCGAAUCCCAGCUCUGCCACUUGUCAGCUGUGUGACUGUGGGCAAGUCACUUAACUUCUCUGUGCCUCAGUUUCCUCAUCUGUAAAAUGGGGGUUAAGACUGUGAGCCCUACGUGGGGCAACCUGAUUCCCCUGUGUUUACCCCAGCGCUUAGAACAGUGCUCUGCACAUAGUAAGCGCUUAACAAAUACCAACAUUAUUAACAUUACUAUUUAACUUCUCUGUGCCUCAAUUACCUCAUCUGUAAAAUGGGGAUUAAGACUGUGAGCCCCACGUGGGACAACCUGAUUACCCUGUAUCUACCCCAGUGCUUAGAACAGUGCUCUGCACAUAGUAAGUGCUUAAUACCAACAUAAUUAUUAUUACAUAAGAACAGGUCAGCACCCUCCUUGUCAAAAUCCUGCCCAGACUCUGAGUCAGUGAUUCUAUUUGUUCAAUUUGCACCCCCUCUAAACUGUAAACCUCACCCCUUGACUUUAAGCUCCUUAUCAGCAGGGAACAUGCCUAACUCUGUUAUACUGUACUCUCCCAAGCACUUAAUACAGUGCUCUGCACAUAGUAAGCGCUCACUAAAUUUGAUAGAUUGGUUGACUGUCAACCAUCUGUUCUGUAGUUUAAACAAUCCCAUUUUCUUUAGCCUUCACAGUUAGGGGCUACUUCCAUGAGUUUAAUCAAUGGACCUCUCCAGUGUUUCCACAUAAAUUUUUAGAGUGUAGUGACCAAAACUGGUUAUGGUACUCUUUCAAGGGUCUCGCUGAUCCAAGAAGAGUUUAGCAAAAGGAUCUUUUCUCAACUCCUUCUUGUCAAAUGUCCAUUUAGAUCUCCAGUACCAUCUCAGAUUGCUAUAUAAUGAGAGUAGCAUUGAUUGUCCUCAGCCUGUGAACCCUUGGGAUCCCUGGGUCUUUUUCUGCCAAAUUUAAAUAGAUAAAUAAUGAUAGCAAUAAUGAUGGCAUUUGUUAAGUGCUUACUAUGUGUCAAGCACUGUUCUAAAUGUUGGGGUUACACUGUUCUAAGAUAAUCAGAUUGGGCAUAGUUCCUGUCCCACAUGGGACUCACAGUCUUAAUCUUCAUUUUACAGAUGAGGUAACUGAGGCACAGAGAAGUUAAGUGACUUGCCUCAGGUCAGAGUGGCAGAGCCAGGAUUAGAACCUAGGUCUUUCUGACUCCCAGGCUCAUGCUCUAUCCACUGGGUUAUGCAGUCUCUCUAAUACCUCCAGGGUCAUUUCUGAUUAGAGUAAUAGUGGCCUUGUAUGGCUCUUCAGCUUGUGAUCCCCUGAGUCUUUUUCUGCACAACUCAGACCUGGCCAGUCAUUUUGCAC
RNAcentral lists this long non-coding RNA (2914 nucleotides) under Ornithorhynchus anatinus (platypus). Its description in RNAcentral is "lncRNA (ENSOANG00000049194.1)". The record is from RNAcentral. Lineage: Eukaryota; Metazoa; Chordata; Mammalia; Monotremata; Ornithorhynchidae.